This 497-nucleotide ribosomal RNA is filed under the name uncultured bacterium. RNAcentral's name for it is "partial 16S ribosomal RNA". It matches the Rfam family "Bacterial small subunit ribosomal RNA", at positions 28 to 507 of the family's 1533-position model. The record is from RNAcentral.
GAUGAACACUGGCGGCGUGCCUAAUACAUGCAAGUCGAGCGAACGGACGAGAAGCUUGCUUCUCUGAUGUUAGCGGCGGACGGGUGAGUAACACGUGGAUAACCUACCUAUAAGACUGGGAUAACUUCGGGAAACCGGAGCUAAUACCGGAUGAUAUUUUGAACCGCAUGGUUCAAAAGUGAAAGACGGUCUUGCUGUCACUUAUAGAUGGAUCCGCGCUGCAUUAGCUAGUUGGUAAGGUAACGGCUUACCAAGGCAACGAUGCAUAGCCGACCUGAGAGGGUGAUCCGCCACACUGGAACUGAGACACGGUCCAGACUCCUACGGGAGGCAGCAGUAGGGAAUCUUCCGCAAUGGGCGAAAGCCUGACGGAGCAACGCCGCGUGAGUGAUGAAGGUCUUCGGAUCGUAAAACUCUGUUAUUAGGGAAGAACAUAUGUGUAAGUAACUGUGCACAUCUUGACGGUACCUAAUCAGAAAGCCACGGCUAACUACGUG